GACGAACGCUGGCGGUGUGCCUCAAACAUGCAAGUCGAGGGAGGGUUGGCGUCUGGCUUGCCAGACGUUCAACUCUACCGGCGAACGGGUGAGUAACACGUGGGCAAUCUGCCCUGAAGACGGGGACAACCUCGGGAAACCGUGGCUAAUACCCGAUAUCCUCCUUGGGGGGCAUCCCCUAGGAAGGAAAGGUCCGCAAGGUCCGCUUCAGGAGGAGCCCGCGGCCUAUCAGCUUGUUGGUGGGGUCACGGCCUACCAAGGCUAUGACGGGUAGCUGGUCUGAGAGGACGAUCAGCCACACUGGGACUGAGACACGGCCCAGACUCCUACGGGAGGCAGCAGUUGGGAAUUUUGGGCAAUGGGCGCAAGCCUGACCCAGCGACACCGCGU
RNAcentral lists this ribosomal RNA (390 nucleotides) under uncultured bacterium. RNAcentral's name for it is "bacterial SSU rRNA". It matches the Rfam family "Bacterial small subunit ribosomal RNA", at positions 28 to 402 of the family's 1533-position model. The record is from RNAcentral.